Molecule: ribosomal RNA, 468 nt
Filed under: uncultured bacterium
Lineage: Bacteria
Description: partial 16S ribosomal RNA
Rfam family: Bacterial small subunit ribosomal RNA
Source: RNAcentral
GACGAACGCUGGCGGCGUGCUUAACACAUGCAAGUCGAACGGAAAGGCCCUGCUUUUGUGGGGUGCUCGAGUGGCGAACGGGUGAGUAACACGAGAGUAACCUGACCUUGACUUUGGGAUAACUUCAGGAAACUGGGGCUAAUACCGGAUAGGAGCUCCUGCUGCAUGGUGGGGGUUGGUAAGUUUCGGCGGUUGGGGCUGGACUCGCGGCGUAUCAGCUUGUUGGUGGGGUAGUGGCUUGCCAAGGCUUUGACGGGUAGCCGGCCUGAGAGGGUGACCGGCCACAUUGGGACUGAGAUACGGCCCAGACGCCUGCGGGAUGCAGCAGUGGGGAAUAUUGCACUAUGGGCGGGAGGCUGAAGCAGCAACGCCGCGUGCGGGAUGACGGCCUUCGGGUUGUAAACCGCUUUCGCCUGUGACGAAGCGUGAGUGACGGUAAUGGGUAAAGAAGCACCGGCUAACUACGUG